CGAGGAGUGCAUGGGGGAGAUUAACAGGACAGCAAAUCUCUGGGGGACAUCGCCGUCCACGCGUGUUGAUGGGGUCCGGGCGGAGGUUGUUGGGCCACUGGAGAGGCCCGUUCCCACCUUGCCCCGACCUUUUUUGUGCGGUGGGCCUCUGGACUUGGUGCGGCCGGGAACGCCUCUGCAGAGAGGUGCAUCUUGUCCGCGUGAGGGGCCUGUUCAGGUUUCGUCCCUGCUUAUGUGUGUUGGGCCACUGGAGCAGAGGAAUGCAUCAAGUCCGCAUGAAGGGCCUCAUCAGGCUGCAGGGUCGCUGGAGCUGGUCCAUGGUCAGGCUCCCCCACUGAAGUAUUAUUCUAGAAGGCGGAUCAGGAGCCAGCAUCAGGUGCAAGAUGAGCUUGAUCCUACAUCCGAUCACAGCAACAACUCUCAAGCUUUGGUUCAGCAAGGUAUCACACCGGUGCAAUCGUUUGUGGCUAGUGUUACAAGACCAAUCUCUUGCAUUCUUCCCCAUCCGCCCCCACAGAAGAGAAAGUCUGCGCAGCUGCCUCCGGAUUUUGUUCCUCGUCGUAGCAGCCGCCUGGCAAGCAAGGGUUUUAAAUCCAGCAAAGAUGCGCCUAUCAGACAUAUCCAGCAGGAUCUCAUUAGAAGGUUGGGUAUUGCUAGUGGAAAUGAGGCUGUUACCACUGAAGCUCUUGAUAAGUAUGGACGUUUCUUCUCCAAUCCACUAUCGGAGUCCCACAUCAAGGCUCUGGUAGCUUUAUUUGGUUGGACUGUUCCUGAAAACGUGGAGAACUUGGAGACCAUUCAGCUCCUCGCAGGAGAUGCCCCGACGGAUUCUGUUUAGGGGGCGCAUAAUUCUCUCCUUUUUCCAGUUUUUUUGUUGUUAGUCGCUUGUUUAAAUGGAUUUGUCCAAAAUCAUCAUUUGGAAUGUAAGAGGUCUUAAUAAGAAAGCCAGAAGAGAUGCAGUUCGUCAG
RNAcentral lists this unclassified non-coding RNA (968 nucleotides) under Zea mays. Its description in RNAcentral is "misc RNA Zm00001eb289930". Lineage: Eukaryota; Viridiplantae; Streptophyta; Magnoliopsida; Poales; Poaceae. The record is from RNAcentral.